Long non-coding RNA from Nicotiana attenuata, 2618 nucleotides. RefSeq lists it as uncharacterized. The transcript has 3 exons. The record is from RefSeq and is a predicted model, not a curated record. Lineage: Eukaryota; Viridiplantae; Streptophyta; Magnoliopsida; Solanales; Solanaceae.
UGUUUUCAUACAUAUAGUUAGAAAAGAGUGAGGUGUGGACAUGUGUGAAUUUGUGUGAACUAGUGUGGUCAUGUAUGGACUAGCUGUUUUUCCAGUACUUCCACAGCUUGGUAUGUCUCCCUCUAUUAUCUUUUCGUCUUUCUCUUUCCCUUCACGGCCCCCAUUCUUGUCGUUUCUUCUUUGUACCUCCCCGAAGAGGAACAACAAAUUUCACUGAAAAGGUUUCAAAUCAAAGAAACCCCAAUUCUGUUUCUAAAUCAUAGACUGAUGCUAUGAACUCCCAACCUGGUUAUCGUCGUAUUUGGAAGUUCUAAAAGAUUGAUUUAUACUCUCUAACUGUUGAUUUGCAGGUGCCAAAAAUUUAUUAUUGAAUACUUUCUUUAUUUCUUACAUUAAAAUUUCUUGGAAUUUGAAUAUUUAGUUAAUCUUAAGGGGUUAGUUUUCAGUUCACCUGAUCUUCUUCCUUCAUGUUGUUUGGAAUUAUUUAUUUCAGUGUUCGAUUUAUAUUUUUGUCACUUUCUAUGACUUUUCUCUGUUUCUCCAUGUAUUCACCCCUCUUCCCAAAAGGUUAGUUUUUCUUUCUCUUCUCUUCUCCAUCUGGGUGUCUACGUGUUUCUUUUUGCUUUUUUUUCUUAAGAGUUUGUGUUGAAUUCAUUUCAUGUGUAUUUUUUCUCCUUUUUUCUUUUCAGUAAAAGGUUGAAUCGAUGUCAGGUGUAUAGAUUUGCUUGUUGUAUGUAGGUAUUUUUUUUAUUUCUAUAAACCUCGCAAGAGACUUUGCUGGGCAUUGAUAAGCAUAUUAGGAUUUUCGAUAUGGAAAUCGAGUUUUACGUUCUGGGUAUCAUCAAAAUUCAACAAAGCUCAGAAGAAUUGUGCAUUACAGGUUUCAAGUAGAGAUUCUUACACUAAAUUUUCUCGCAGGGUAAGUUGUACAGUUUCUCGAUUGUGAUCUCAAUUAUUGGAAAAGAAAUUACAUUCUUUAACUGUGCUUCAUUCUUUUUAUAAUUUGAUUCUGGGAAUUAAAUUUAUUUUCUUGUAGUUUCUCGAAGGAUCUAAGUCGGUAGUAAAAUGAUCUUCAGGAAGUAAUUUAGCAAAUCCUUGUUCAUCUACAAGAAAUUGUAAAAUAUUUAUCCCUUAAAAUACACCGGAGAUAAAACUAUAGUACUAUCGGAAACUUGUCAAGUGCAUAGAAAAUGCACCAUAGAAAUUUAAAUUUGACGAAAUAAUAAUUAUCAUCACUUCAACUAUAAUAACUGAUCGUGUGAGAGCAUAAUAGCGAAAGGGAAUAAAGGAAAUAAUCGAAAAGGAGUUUAUGUCUAAGGACUGGUUUUGAAGAUAUAAUUUAUAGUAGUGCGAGAUAAUAUCACUACAACAAAAAUGGCCUAAGGUCACACCAAUUUUAGACAACGCUUGAAAAGUGUUGCCAAAAAUAUCUACAGGACGUUUUUUAAGGGGUGGCCUUUAUCGAGCACUUUUGGCCACGGAAUUCUAGCAACGCUUACAAAGUGUUCUUUUUUAUUUUAAAGGCUACGCUUUUCACGUGUUGCCGAUCCAUUAAAUUAAGGCAACGUUUAGUCACAUGUAAUGUAACCCUUUAAGGGAGUGGUUGUUUAUAUUUGCAAUUGCGAUCCUCCAUAAACGUGCUCUAAAGUCCUCUAAAAUUUCCCGUUCAGAUUUCCCUCUAUUUGUUUUUGGCAAAAAGUUACGCUCUAAAAUACUCUAAUUAAAAUAUGCCUGUCAAAUUUACCCACACAACAAGAAGAUCUCGUCCUUCUUCCCUAAGAUCUGGCUCUUCUUGUACCUCUCUGUUCAUUGAGUGACGCGGGGUGAGUUCGGAGGAAAUCGUUGAUGGAAGCGAUAAAAUUCUUCUAAUUUCUCUUCUCAAAUUUCAAAACUUUCUCUUCGUCUGGUUCUGUGGCUAGCAGUUUCAAUUGGGGAUUUCGUUUUUUUAGGGUUUGCAGCCGCUGUUGACCUCCAUUUUUCAAAGACUUACUUCAGUCUAUAUCAGCUAAUUUCAGAGUAGUUCAAUGUUUCGAGACUCGGCUGCAUAUAUUGGAGGCUUAGCACGUGAAUUCCUAAUUUUACACCUCGGGAGUAACUUGUUUGAUAAAUUUUCUCCUACCAAUCUACCAGAUUCUAAAGUUUGCCAUCUCAAAAUUUCUCUUCUCUCAGGAUCUUUCAGUUCUCACAGGUGAGUUUCGUGUUGUUCUUGAGCGCCACAAACUUUUACUAUUCCAAACAUGUUCAUAUUUAAUUUGCAAUUGCUGCUACCAACAUUUUAUUAUCCAUGUUGUCAUAAUAUAUGCCAAGCCUUCAGUAAGGUGCCUAUGAUAUGUAAAUAAAACCCGCAAACUUAGAUAGUCCUCCAAAUAAACUUUUCUUGAGAGGUGAAAGGAGUAUUUAGCCCUUACAGGCUGUACUUAAAUUUUUUCUCUAAAAUAACAUGGACUACAAGUAUAUUAUUGACCUUUUCUUGGUUGGCAUAAACAACAAUAUAGUGUACGACCAGAUAUUUUAAUGUGUAGUCCCACCAAAUAUGUCUAAGAUUGUAGCUAAAUUAAAACAAUGACUAAAGAUGCUCAAUAUCAAAUUAGACUAAUAGAAGUUUUUGAGUGAGCUUU